Molecule: long non-coding RNA, 355 nt
Filed under: Phaseolus vulgaris (common bean)
Lineage: Eukaryota; Viridiplantae; Streptophyta; Magnoliopsida; Fabales; Fabaceae
Description: long non-coding RNA (PVUL_LNC000241)
Source: RNAcentral
AGGGUGCAGAAAAAUAAAACCAAAGUCUUGCGCACAACGCACAAGACGCCCAGAAACAGUUAACAAAAGCAAGUAUUAAAGCAAGAAGCUUGAAUGUUCUAACCUAUUCGAAUUUCGAGUUGGUCCUCGAAGAAUUCGAAGCAGAUCAGGGUGGUGGUGAGGAAGGUGAUGUUGGCAUCCGCCACACUCUUCCAAAAGAAGCAGAGAUCCCUGUCCAAUGCACCCAUGCUAUCAGGACUUCUGGGUCUCCUGAAGCAGCUCUUGGACUCUUUGCUCCCCUUGUUUACCCAGUACAAGGGGAAGCCGUCGAGUAGGGAAGUGUCCUUGUCGUUGGGGCGCACUUGGACAAACUUUU